AGUGAACGCUGGCGGUAGGCCUAACACAUGCAAGUCGAACGGCAGCACAGUAAGAGCUUGCUCUUACGGGUGGCGAGUGGCGGACGGGUGAGGAAUACAUCGGAAUCUACUUUUUCGUGGGGGAUAACGUAGGGAAACUUACGCUAAUACCGCAUACGACCUACGGGUGAAAGCAGGGGAUCUUCGGACCUUGCGCGAUUGAAUGAGCCGAUGUCGGAUUAGCUAGUUGGCGGGGUAAAGGCCCACCAAGGCGACGGUCCGUAGCUGGUCUGAGAGGAUGAUCAGCCACACUGGAACGGAGACACGGUACAGACUGCUAGGGGAGGCAGCAGUGGGGAAUAUUGGACAAUGGGCGCAAGACUGAUCCAGCCAUACCGCGUGGGGGAAGAAGGCCUUCGGGUGGUAAAGCCCGUUUGUUGGGAAAGAAAAGCAGCAGGUUAAUACCCCGCUGUUCUGACGGUAACCAAAUAAUAAGCACCGGCUAACUUCGUG
Molecule: ribosomal RNA, 492 nt
Filed under: uncultured bacterium
Lineage: Bacteria
Description: partial 16S ribosomal RNA
Rfam family: Bacterial small subunit ribosomal RNA
Source: RNAcentral